This 72-nucleotide transfer RNA is filed under the name Ovis aries (sheep). It matches the Rfam family "tRNA". Rfam says of the family: Transfer RNA (tRNA) molecules are approximately 80 nucleotides in length. Their secondary structure includes four short double-helical elements and three loops (D, anti-codon, and T loops). Lineage: Eukaryota; Metazoa; Chordata; Mammalia; Artiodactyla; Bovidae. The record is from Rfam by way of RNAcentral.
UCCCUGGUGGCUCAGACGGUAAAGCAUCUGUCUACAAUGCAGGACACCCGGGUUCAACCCCUGGGUUGGGAA